This 497-nucleotide ribosomal RNA is filed under the name uncultured bacterium. RNAcentral's name for it is "partial 16S ribosomal RNA". It matches the Rfam family "Bacterial small subunit ribosomal RNA", at positions 28 to 507 of the family's 1533-position model. The record is from RNAcentral.
GAUGAACGCUGGCGGCGUGCCUAAUACAUGCAAGUCGAGCGAACGGACGAGAAGCUUGCUUCUCUGAUGUUAGCGGCGGACGGGUGAGUAACACGUGGAUAACCUACCUAUAAGACUGGGAUAACUUCGGGAAACCGUAGCUAAUACCGGAUAAUAUCUUGAACCGCAUGGUUCAAAAGUGAAAGACGGUCUUGCUGUCACUUAUAGAUGGAUCCGCGCUGCAUUAGCUAGUUGGUAAGGUAACGGCUUACCAAGGCAACGAUGCAUAGCCGACCUGAGAGGGUGAUAGGCCACACUGGAACUGGGACACGGUCCAGACUCCUACGGGAGGCAGCAGUAGGGAAUCUUCCGCAAUGGGCGAAAGCCUGACGGAGCAACGCCGCGUGAGUGAUGAAGGUCUUCGGAUCGUAAAACUCUGUUAUUAGGGAAGAACAUAUGUGUAAGUAACUGUGCACAUCUUGACGGUACCUAAUCAGAAAGCCACGGCUAACUACGUG